This 571-nucleotide ribosomal RNA is filed under the name Beauveria bassiana. Its description in RNAcentral is "eukaryotic LSU rRNA". The stretch from base 207 to 360 matches the Rfam family "5.8S ribosomal RNA". Lineage: Eukaryota; Fungi; Ascomycota; Sordariomycetes; Hypocreales; Cordycipitaceae. The record is from RNAcentral.
GUCGUAACAAGGUCUCCGUUGGUGAACCAGCGGAGGGAUCAUUACCGAGUUUUCAACUCCCCAACCCUUCUGUGAACCUACCUAUCGUUGCUUCGGCGGACUCGCCCCAGCCCGGACGCGGACUGGACCAGCGGCCCGCCGGGGACCUCAAACUCUUGUAUUCCAGCAUCUUCUGAAUACGCCGCAAGGCAAAACAAAUGAAUCAAAACUUUCAACAACGGAUCUCUUGGCUCUGGCAUCGAUGAAGAACGCAGCGAAAUGCGAUAAGUAAUGUGAAUUGCAGAAUCCAGUGAAUCAUCGAAUCUUUGAACGCACAUUGCGCCCGCCAGCAUUCUGGCGGGCAUGCCUGUUCGAGCGUCAUUUCAACCCUCGACCUCCCCUUGGGGACGUCGGCGUUGGGGACCGGCAGCACACCGCCGGCCCUGAAAUGGAGUGGCGGCCCGUCCGCGGCGACCUCUGCGUAGUAAUACAGCUCGCACCGGAACCCCGACGCGGCCACGCCGUAAAACACCCAACUUCUGAACGUUGACCUCGAAUCAGGUAGGACUACCCGCUGAACUUAAGCAUAUCA